Molecule: unclassified non-coding RNA, 315 nt
Filed under: plant metagenome
Description: partial contains 5.8S ribosomal RNA, internal transcribed spacer 2, and large subunit ribosomal RNA
Rfam family: 5.8S ribosomal RNA (bases 1-105)
Source: RNAcentral
GAACUGCGAUAAGUAAUGUGAAUUGCAGAAUUCAGUGAAUCAUCGAGUCUUUGAACGCACAUUGCGCCCCCUGGCAUUCCGGGGGGCAUGCCUGUCCGAGCGUCAUUGCUGCCCUUCAAGCCCGGCGUGUGUGUUGGGUCGUCGUCCCCUCCGGGGGACGGGCCCGAAAGGCAGCGGCGGCACCGCGUCCGGUCCUCGAGCGUAUGGGGCUUUGUCACCCGCUCGAUAAGGACCGGCCGGGCGCCAGCCGGCGUCUCCAACCUUUUUUUCUCAGGUUGACCUCGGAUCAGGUAGGGAUACCCGCUGAACUUAAGC